GUAGGGGGCAAGCGUUGUCCGGAUUUAUUGGGCGUAAAGAGCGUGUAGGCGGCCAUGCAGGUCCGUUGUGAAAACUCGAGGCUCAACCUCGAGACGCCGAUGGAAACCGCAUGGCUAGAGUCCGGAAGAGGAGAGUGGAAUUCCUGGUGUAGCGGUGAAAUGCGCAGAUAUCAGGAAGAACACCCGUGGCUAAGGCGGCUCUCUAGUACGGUACUGACGCUAAGACGCGAAAGCGUGGGGAGCGAACAGGAUUAGAUACCCUGGUAGUCCACGCCGUAAACGAUGGGUGCUAGGUGUGGGAGGUGUCGACUCCUUCCGUGCCGAAGCUAACGCAUUAAGCACCCCGCCUGGGGAGUACGGCCGCAAGGCUA
Molecule: ribosomal RNA, 371 nt
Filed under: uncultured bacterium
Lineage: Bacteria
Description: bacterial SSU rRNA
Rfam family: Bacterial small subunit ribosomal RNA
Source: RNAcentral